UACGUAGGGUGCGAGCGUUGUCCGGAAUUACUGGGCGUAAGAGCUCGUAGGCGGCUUGUCGCGUUGUUCGUGAAAAUUUACCGCUCAACGGUGAACUUGCGGGCGAUACGGGCAGGCUAGAGUACUGCAGGGGAGACUGGAAUUCCUGGUGUAGCGGUGAAAUGCGCAGAUAUCAGGAGGAACACCGGUGGCGAAGGCGGGUCUCUGGGCAAUAACUGACGCUGAGGAGCGAAAGCGUGGGGAGCGAACAGG
RNAcentral lists this ribosomal RNA (252 nucleotides) under uncultured bacterium. RNAcentral describes it as "partial 16S ribosomal RNA". It matches the Rfam family "Bacterial small subunit ribosomal RNA", at positions 524 to 776 of the family's 1533-position model. The record is from RNAcentral.